GGGGGCGACCUGGUUUCGACGUGGGCAUCGAAGCAGCGCAGGGCAUGCCGAGGACCAGAUCACCUCGUAAAUCCAUUCUGGAAACACUACAAACGCCAACGACGAGCGUUUCGCUCUAGCCGCCUAACACCGGCUAGACGCUGCACUGGUCUGCUGAUGGGCCAGGCCCGGAACAUCGGGUGCAGCGUCAUUCACAUCAGCCUCUCUCCCGGGCUUGGCCGCUUGGCCCAGGGGAUCCGUCGAAGCGGCUAGCCGAGCGUCAGCCUGCCGGUUGGCGGGCGUAAGGCGAAAUACAAACAACCAGGCUAAGCAUGUAGUCCUGACUGCCUAGGGUUCAUGGACGCGGGUUCGAUUCCCGCCGCCUCCACCA
This 370-nucleotide transfer-messenger RNA is filed under the name Burkholderiales. RNAcentral describes it as "SCGC-AG-212-J23 sp004297625 X1 Standard tmRNA". It matches the Rfam family "transfer-messenger RNA". From Rfam's summary of the family: Bacterial tmRNA, also known as 10Sa RNA or SsrA, is named for its dual tRNA and mRNA-like properties. Its role is to liberate the mRNA from a stalled ribosome. RNAcentral also lists the same sequence under 1 other name. Lineage: Bacteria; Pseudomonadati; Pseudomonadota; Betaproteobacteria. The record is from RNAcentral.